AACGAACGCUGGCGGCAGGCUUAACACAUGCAAGUCGAACGCACCUUUCGGGGUGAGUGGCCGACGGGUGAGUAACGCGUGGGAAUCUACCCUUCUCUACGGGAUAGCUCCGGGAAACUGGAAUUAAUACCGUAUACGUCCUGAGGGCGAAAGAUUUAUCGGGGAAGGAUGAGCCCGCGUUGGAUUAGCUAGUUGGUGGGGUAAAGGCCUACCAAGGCGACGAUCCAUAGCUGGUCUAAGAGGAUGAUCAGCCACAUUGGGACUGAGACACGGCCCAAACUCCUACGGGAGGCAGCAGUGGGGAAUAUUGGACAAUGGGCGCAAGCCUGAUCCAGCCAUGCCGCGUGAGUGAUGAAGGCCCUAGGGUUGUAAAGCUCUUUCAGGGGGGACGAUAAUGACGGUACCCACAGAAGAAGCCCCGGCUAACUUCGUG
This 433-nucleotide ribosomal RNA is filed under the name uncultured bacterium. RNAcentral describes it as "partial 16S ribosomal RNA". It matches the Rfam family "Bacterial small subunit ribosomal RNA", at positions 29 to 507 of the family's 1533-position model. The record is from RNAcentral.